Non-coding RNA from Otolemur garnettii (small-eared galago), 303 nucleotides. The record is from Rfam. NCBI's taxonomy places the organism in Eukaryota, Metazoa, Chordata, Mammalia, Primates, Galagidae.
UGAUGUGAACGCAAUCUGGCUGCCCGAGGUCGGACACCCCUUUGGUGGCCAGGGCUGAUCCGGCUGGGUUGGCAGGCGUCCCCUUCCUCCCCCACUGCUCUCUGUGCAUCCUUCCUCCCCCGGUACACAUGGUGCCUGCUUAGUCAAAGAGGACAACCUUUCCCCCGCAAGGAAGGCCAUUUUUUGGUCAAGGGUAUCUGAGUAGCUGUGCCCCCUUGCCAGAACCUCCAGACAAGAUCUCAAGAAAGUCAAUCUCUAUAAAAUAGAGAAUAUUUUAAAUAUCAAAUUUCUUGUCUGUUUUUA